GAUGAACGCUAGCGAUAGGCUUAACACAUGCAAGUCGAGGGGCAGCAUGGUCUUAGCUUGCUAAGACUGAUGGCGACCGGCGCACGGGUGCGUAACGCGUAUGCAACUUGCCUCACAGAGGGGGAUAACCCGUCGAAAGACGGACUAAUACCGCGUACACUCCACUUUGGGCAUCCAAAGUAGAGGAAAUGAAAUUCGCUGUGAGAUAGGCAUGCGUCCCAUUAGCUAGUUGGUGAGGUAACGGCUCACCAAGGCGACGAUGGGUAGGGGAACUGAGAGGUUGAACCCCCACACUGGUACUGAGACACGGACCAGACUCCUACGGGAGGCAGCAGUGAGGAAUAUUGGUCAAUGGGCGAGAGCCUGAACCAGCCAAGUCGCGUGAAGGAUGACUGUCUUAUGGAUUGUAAACUUCUUUUAUACGGGAAUAACAAGAGUCACGUGUGGCUCCCUGCAUGUACCGUAUGAAUAAGCAUCGGCUAACUCCGUGCCAGCAGCCGCGGUAAUACGGAGGAUGCGAGCGUUAUCCGGAUUUAUUGGGUUUAAAGGGUGCGUAGGCGGCCUGUUAAGUCAGCGGUGAAAUCUAGGAGCUUAACUCCUAAAUUGCCAUUGAUACUGGUGGGCUUGAGUGUAGAUGAGGUAGGCGGAAUGCGUGGUGUAGCGGUGGAAUGCAUAGAUAUCACGCAGAACUCCGAUUGCGAAGGCAGCUUACUAAGGUACAACUGACGCUGAAGCACGAAAGCGUGUGUAUCAAACAGG
RNAcentral lists this ribosomal RNA (759 nucleotides) under uncultured Porphyromonas sp. RNAcentral's name for it is "bacterial SSU rRNA". It matches the Rfam family "Bacterial small subunit ribosomal RNA", at positions 28 to 776 of the family's 1533-position model. Lineage: Bacteria; Pseudomonadati; Bacteroidota; Bacteroidia; Bacteroidales; Porphyromonadaceae. The record is from RNAcentral.